UUUCCUACGGGGGGCAGCAGUGGGGAAUAUUGCACAAUGGGGGAAACCCUGAUGCAGCGACGCCGCGUGAGUGAAGAAGUAUUUCGGUAUGUAAAGCUCUAUCAGCAGGGAAGAAAGUGACGGUACCUGACUAAGAAGCCCCGGCUAACUACGUGCCAGCAGCCGCGGUAAUACGUAGGGGGCAAGCGUUAUCCGGAUUUACUGGGUGUAAAGGGAGCGUAGACGGAGGAGCAAGUCUGAAGUGAAAGCCCGCGGCUCAACUGCGGGACUGCUUUGGAAACUGUUCAUCUAGAGUGUCGGAGAGG
Molecule: ribosomal RNA, 305 nt
Filed under: uncultured bacterium
Lineage: Bacteria
Description: bacterial SSU rRNA
Rfam family: Bacterial small subunit ribosomal RNA
Source: RNAcentral